Sinocyclocheilus grahami is the source of this 777-nucleotide long non-coding RNA. RefSeq lists it as uncharacterized. The record is from RefSeq and is a predicted model, not a curated record. The transcript has 3 exons. Lineage: Eukaryota; Metazoa; Chordata; Actinopteri; Cypriniformes; Cyprinidae.
GUGUCGCUGUGGGUCUGUGUAAGAUGUUACCGCAUCGCUCCCUGCCUCAGUUUCAUUCCCAUGAGAAAUGACUUUCAGCUUCAGUGUUACAGUGCGUCUGUCUGUCUGUCUGUCUGUCAUCCACGUGUUGCGCUGCGCGUCUCGCGUCCUGUCUGUUGCUUCUCCGGGAAGUUUCGAUGCUCCGGGAAUAACAGCACAGAGCAGAGCCCUGACAGGAGCCGCGAGCGGACCGGACUUUUCCAUGUUUGACACGCAUUACCCGACACCAGACUGUGCUGAAGUGUUUGUGAGGCAGGUAGAGAGAAGGAACGCUUUUAACUGCGGAAGCAGAUUGUCUCCGGUGCUUUUUGAAUGGGGAAGAUGCUGUCAAGCUCCAAAUAUGACCAAAAGAAAUUCAUCAUAAAGAGUUGACACCGUGGGAAAUGUCACAGCCGGGAGACAUUUGACAAAUGAAGCCCAGUGGAUGGCGAAGAAUCUAUUAAAGGCGGUGCGUUUGAGAGAUCUGCAUUCAUUUCAGUUGGUAUUGUGUGAACCUGACAGUAUUCGUGUCAAAACCCGGUGCAACAGAAACACACGGGUGUCACACCCCAUCUGCCCUCUCCAGCUGCGGCACGGAGAGGCGUGUCCCUGCCUCCCCCCGCAACACCCCAAAUCCACCCGACAUGCGGCUUUAAAUGCAGCGUGCUUCAGUUCAUGCCCGAAUGCCAGCAUUAAAUAUUAAGGGGAGGUACUGCAGACGUAAGUGGUGAUUUUAGGUGGAUUAAAUUUUUUUUGUUG